Molecule: ribosomal RNA, 473 nt
Filed under: uncultured bacterium
Lineage: Bacteria
Description: bacterial SSU rRNA
Rfam family: Bacterial small subunit ribosomal RNA
Source: RNAcentral
GACGAACGCUGGCGGCGCGCCUAACACAUGCAAGUCGAACGAGAGAGAGGAAGCUUGCUUCCUCAAUCGAGUGGCGAACGGGUGAGUAACGCGUGAGGAACCUGCCUCAAAGAGGGGGACAACAGUUGGAAACGACUGCUAAUACCGCAUAAGCCCACAGGUCGGCAUCGACCAGAGGGAAAAGGAGUAAUCCGCUUUGAGAUGGCCUCGCGUCCGAUUAGCUAGUUGGUGAGGUAACGGCCCACCAAGGCGACGAUCGGUAGCCGGACUGAGAGGUUGAACGGCCACAUUGGGACUGAGACACGGCCCAGACUCUACGGGAGGCAGCAGUGGGGAAUAUUGCACAAUGGGGGAAACCCUGAUGCAGCGACGCCGCGUGGAGGAAGGAAGGUCUUCGGAUUGUAAACUCCUGUUGUUGAGGAAGAUAAAUCGACGGUACUCAACAAGGAAGUGACGGCUAACUACGUGCCAGC